RNAcentral lists this ribosomal RNA (446 nucleotides) under uncultured bacterium. Its description in RNAcentral is "partial 16S ribosomal RNA". It matches the Rfam family "Bacterial small subunit ribosomal RNA", at positions 330 to 792 of the family's 1533-position model. The record is from RNAcentral.
ACCAGACUCCUACGGGAGGCAGCAGUGGGGGAUAUUGCACAAUGGGGGGAACCCUGAUGCAGCGACGCCGCGUGGGUGAAGGAGUAUUUCGGUAUGUAAAGCCCUAUCGGCAGGGAAGAAGCAAGACGGUACCUGACUAAGAAGCCCCGGCUAACUACGUGCCAGCAGCCGCGGUAAUCCGUAGGGGGCGAGCGUUCUCCGGAUUCACUGGGCGUAAAGGGAGCGUAGACGGCCAAGCAAGCCAGGGGUGAAAGCCCGGGGCCCAGCCCCGGGACUGCCCUUGGAACUGCGUGGCUGGAGUGCAGGAGGGGCAGGCGGAAUUCCUGGUGUAGCGGUGAAAUGCGUAGAUAUCAGGAGGAACACCGGUGGCGAAGGCGACUAUCUGGCACAUAACUGACGCUGAGGAGCGAAAGCGUGGGUAGCAAACAGGAUUAGAUACCCCUGUA